This 677-nucleotide ribosomal RNA is filed under the name uncultured Enterococcus sp. RNAcentral describes it as "bacterial SSU rRNA". It matches the Rfam family "Bacterial small subunit ribosomal RNA", at positions 70 to 734 of the family's 1533-position model. Lineage: Bacteria; Bacillati; Bacillota; Bacilli; Lactobacillales; Enterococcaceae. The record is from RNAcentral.
UGCUUGCACUCAAUUGGAAAGAGGAGUGGCGGACGGGUGAGUAACACGUGGGUAACCUACCCAUCAGAGGGGGAUAACACUUGGAAACAGGUGCUAAUACCGCAUAACAGUUUAUGCCGCAUGGCAUAAGAGUGAAAGGCGCUUUCGGGUGUCGCUGAUGGAUGGACCCGCGGUGCAUUAGCUAGUUGGUGAGGUAACGGCUCACCAAGGCCACGAUGCAUAGCCGACCUGAGAGGGUGAUCGGCCACACUGGGACUGAGACACGGCCCAGACUCCUACGGGAGGCAGCAGUAGGGAAUCUUCGGCAAUGGACGAAAGUCUGACCGAGCAACGCCGCGUGAGUGAAGAAGGUUUUCGGAUCGUAAAACUCUGUUGUUAGAGAAGAACAAGGACGUUAGUAACUGAACGUCCCCUGACGGUAUCUAACCAGAAAGCCACGGCUAACUACGUGCCAGCAGCCGCGGUAAUACGUAGGGGGCUAGCGUUAUCCGGAAUUACUGGGCGUAAAGGGUGCGUAGGCGGUCUUUCAAGCCAGAAGUGAAAGGCUACGGCUCAACCGUAGUAAGCUUUUGGAACUGUAGGACUUGAGUGCAGGAGAGGAGAGUGGAAUUCCUAGUGUAGCGGUGAAAUGCGUAGAUAUUAGGAGGAACACCAGUAGCGAAGGCGGCUCUCUGGAC